RNAcentral lists this ribosomal RNA (465 nucleotides) under Clostridioides difficile. RNAcentral's name for it is "partial 23S ribosomal RNA". It matches the Rfam family "Bacterial large subunit ribosomal RNA", at positions 2460 to 2925 of the family's 2925-position model. Lineage: Bacteria; Bacillati; Bacillota; Clostridia; Peptostreptococcales; Peptostreptococcaceae. The record is from RNAcentral.
AAGCUACCCUGGGGAUAACAGGCUUAUCUCCCCCAAGAGUCCACAUCGACGGGGAGGUUUGGCACCUCGAUGUCGGCUCAUCACAUCCUGGGGCUGUAGUAGGUCCCAAGGGUUGGGCUGUUCGCCCAUUAAAGUGGUACGCGAGCUGGGUUCAGAACGUCGUGAGACAGUUCGGUCCCUAUCCGUCGCAGGCGUAGGAAAUUUGAGAAGACCUGUCCUUAGUACGAGAGGACCGGGAUGGACGUACCUCUGGUGUACCAGUUGUUCUGCCAAGGGCAUGGCUGGGUAGCUAUGUACGGAAUGGAUAAGCGCUGAAAGCAUCUAAGCGCGAAGCCAACUUCAAGAUAAGAUUUCCCACCGCAAGGGUAAGACCCCAGAAAGACUAUCUGGUUGAUAGGUCGAAGGUGUAAGUGCAGCAAUGUAUUUAGCUUAUCGAUACUAAUAGGUCGAGGACUUGACCAAAUU